CCUACGGGGGGCAGCAGUGGGGGAUAUUGGACAAUGGGGGCAACCCUGAUCCAGCGAUGCCGCGUGUGUGAAGAAGGCCUGCGGGUUGUAAAGCACUUUCAGUGGGGAGGAGGAUAUAGGAGUUAAAAGCUAGAUAUAUUGGACGUUACCCACAGAAGAAGCACCGGCAAACUCCGUGCCAGCAGCCGCGGUAAUACGGAGGGUGCGAGCGUUAAUCGGAAUUACUGGGCGUAAAGGGUGCGUAGGCGGUACGUUAAGUUAUUUGUGAAAUACUUGGGCUUAACCUAGGUGCUGCAAAUAAUACUGGCGAGCUAGAGUAUGGUAGAGGGUAGUGGAAUUUCCGGUGUAGCGGUGAAAUGCGUAGAGAUCGGGAGGAACACUGGUGGCGAAGGCGGCUACCUGGACCAAUACUGACGCUGAGGCACGAAAGCGUGGGGAGCAAACAGGAUUAGAUACCCUAGUAGUC
RNAcentral lists this ribosomal RNA (466 nucleotides) under uncultured bacterium. RNAcentral describes it as "bacterial SSU rRNA". It matches the Rfam family "Bacterial small subunit ribosomal RNA", at positions 338 to 795 of the family's 1533-position model. The record is from RNAcentral.